Molecule: ribosomal RNA, 450 nt
Filed under: uncultured bacterium
Lineage: Bacteria
Description: bacterial SSU rRNA
Rfam family: Bacterial small subunit ribosomal RNA
Source: RNAcentral
AUUGAACGCUGGCGGUAUGCUUAACACAUGCAAGUCGAACGGCAGCAUUUUCUAGCUUGCUAGAAAGAUGGCGAGUGGCGAACGGGUGAGUAACGCGUAGGAAUAUGCCUUAAAGAGGGGGACAACUUGGGGAAACUCAAGCUAAUACCGCAUAAUCUCUUCGGAGAAAAGCUAGGGACCUUCGGGCCUGGCGCUUUAAGAUUAGCCUGCGUACGAUUAGCUAGUUGGUAGGGUAAAGGCCUACCAAGGCGACGAUCGUUAGCUGGUCUGAGAGGAUGACCAGCCACACUGGAACUGAGACACGGUCCAGACUCCUACGGGAGGCAGCAGUGGGGAAUAUUGGACAAUGGGGGCAACCCUGAUCCAGCAAUACCGCGUGUGUGAAGAAGGCCUGAGGGUUGUAAAGCACUUUCAGUGGGGAGGAGGAUACUUAGGUUAAGAGCUAGAGUA